CCUACGGGGGGCAGCAGUGGGGAAUAUUGGACAAUGGGCGAAAGCCUGAUCCAGCCAUGCCGCGUGUGUGAAGAAGGCCUUCGGGUUGUAAAGCACUUUCAGUGGGGAAGAAAGCCUUGGGGCUAAUACCCUCGAGGAAGGACAUCACCCACAGAAGAAGCACCGGCUAACUCCGUGCCAGCAGCCGCGGUAAUACGGAGGGUGCGAGCGUUAAUCGGAAUUACUGGGCGUAAAGCGCGCGUAGGCGGUCUGAUAAGCCGGUUGUGAAAGCCCAGGGCUCAACCUGGGAACGGCAUCCGGAACUGUCAGGCUAGAGUGCAGGAGAGGAAGGUAGAAUUCCCGGUGUAGCGGUGAAAUGCGUAGAGAUCGGGAGGAACACCAGUGGCGAAGGCGGCCUUCUGGACUGACACUGACGCUGAGGUGCGAAAGCGUGGGUAGCAAACAGGAUUAGAUACCCCGGUAGUC
This 465-nucleotide ribosomal RNA is filed under the name Vreelandella stevensii. RNAcentral's name for it is "partial 16S ribosomal RNA". It matches the Rfam family "Bacterial small subunit ribosomal RNA", at positions 338 to 795 of the family's 1533-position model. Lineage: Bacteria; Pseudomonadati; Pseudomonadota; Gammaproteobacteria; Oceanospirillales; Halomonadaceae. The record is from RNAcentral.